RNAcentral lists this transfer RNA (71 nucleotides) under Syntrophaceae bacterium. RNAcentral's name for it is "tRNA-Met". It matches the Rfam family "tRNA". From Rfam's summary of the family: Transfer RNA (tRNA) molecules are approximately 80 nucleotides in length. Lineage: Bacteria; Pseudomonadati; Thermodesulfobacteriota; Syntrophia; Syntrophales; Syntrophaceae. The record is from RNAcentral.
GGCGGUGUAGCUCAGACGGUUAGAGCAUACGGCUCAUAUCCGUAGUNNUUCGAUUCCCUGCACCGCCACCA